This 253-nucleotide ribosomal RNA is filed under the name uncultured bacterium. RNAcentral's name for it is "partial 16S ribosomal RNA". It matches the Rfam family "Bacterial small subunit ribosomal RNA", at positions 524 to 776 of the family's 1533-position model. The record is from RNAcentral.
GACGAACCGUGCAAACGUUAUUCGGAAUCACUGGGCUUAAAGGGUGCGUAGGCGGUGUGGAAAGUUGGGUGUGAAAUCCCUCAGCUUAACUGAGGAACUGCACUCAAAACUGCCGCGCUUGAGGGGGACAGAGGUGAGCGGAACUUAGGGUGGAGCGGUGAAAUGCGUUGAUAUCCUAAGGAACACCAGUGGCGUAAGCGGCUCACUGGGUCUCUUCUGACGCUGAGGCACGACAGCUAGGGGAGCAAACGGG